GAUUAAGAAAAGCGAAUACCAUAUGAGCUAAAAGUUGAAAAGAUAAAAGAUACAUUUUGACUUGGAAAGAAGUUGUCAAAUUGUACUAAGCAGUUUAGAUACUAUUCUCAAAUUUUCCUAAGGGAAAAUCUCUCCUAACUUAUGCUAAAGAAGAAGCAGAGCAGAGAAGCAAAGAGGAAGUCAGGGUCUCUUUGGCUUUAUUAUUGAGGAAUUCCAUUGCUGAAAAGGAAAAUAUCUGCUUACUCUUCUUAAGGAUCACCUCAACUGUGAAAAUCUUCAGUAUCUCAUGUCUCUAAUUGGAGAAGGCAUAGGGGGUUAUCCCAGUGAGCUCCUUCCAAAUCCUACAUUUAAAGUAGGAUGUCAGGGCAGUCAUCUCAUCAUUUUCUACCUAGAUGCACAUCUCCAGAAAUCAUCCUGCCUCCCAGAACAGGUUGAGGGCAUAAUUGGAAAUGAUACCCUAAAUACCUUUUAUAACUAUGCUGAGGUGGAAAAUUCAUGCUCAACAUUGGACAGAAUUGAUGAUAGAAGAUAAAAUUAAGACAUAUAAGCAAAAUAAAUAUAGCAAAAAUGAAAAGAUGAGAAGACUGAGGUCUGGAGAGAAUAUGUGAUUUAUCCACAGCCAUAAAAAUACAGAGUAGCAGGCAUGGCUUCUGAACACGUCUUCUGUCUCUACAUCCAGUGUAGAGCUGGACUCAGAAAGAAAAAUUAAAGCUAGAUAUAGAGAUUGAGUUCUACAAGGGAUAUAACAGGAAAGAAUGCUGGUGGCACAAAGAACUGAAGACUUGUCCCAAGAUCAACUUUAAAGAAAUUAUUAUAAUAAUUCCACCUUUGAACACCUUUGAAUAUCUUUCCUGGGAGAGGAAAGAGUAAGAUUGCUUUACCCAGG
Molecule: long non-coding RNA, 886 nt
Filed under: Monodelphis domestica (gray short-tailed opossum)
Lineage: Eukaryota; Metazoa; Chordata; Mammalia; Didelphimorphia; Didelphidae
Description: lncRNA (ENSMODG00000046049.1)
Source: RNAcentral